This 1167-nucleotide long non-coding RNA is filed under the name Equus caballus (horse). RNAcentral describes it as "lncRNA (ENSECAG00000051250.1)". Lineage: Eukaryota; Metazoa; Chordata; Mammalia; Perissodactyla; Equidae. The record is from RNAcentral.
AUAGUUUCCAAGCCUAUCGGGGGGGAAAUGAGUGAGGAAAUCACCACCAGGCUUUUAUUGCCAAAUAUUUCUUUCCUGAGGAGGACAACGCAUUCAAACUGCUGAGUGGAGACUGGCGUUGCUCCAGCCAUAAACCAACUUAAUGAACACUAAUAGAGAACUGCAAUUAUUGUUGACUUCAAAAUGCAAACAAGAACUUUAGACACCGAUCCCUAUCAGCCGGUGAGGCCGGGCACAGAUGCCGAGCGCUGUUUUUGCCGUUGCUUAGCAAUGGAAAAUGAACUGUUCCUGUCUCUUAUCACUGAAGGUAGAGAGAGGACAAUGAGCUUUAUUGGACUGAAUAGAUAAAGUUUGAACUUUUGCCGGGAGUAUCCAUCCAAAACUAUCAUUAGAGAAAAUAGCUAUGAAUAUAGACCCACAGACCAGAGCGGAGAUUAAGGCGAAGAGAAUGGAGACUAGCGUGCAAAAUUUAAGGGGGUGCCAAAAAAAUCAGUCAUCAAGAUAGAUAUUUUAAUGCAAUAUUUUUUGAAAUCCAAAUAAACGGAAAAAGAUCCACAGUGAAUACAAUAUCAAAAUUUAAUGAUGAUAGGGUCAGUAGCGCUGAUUUUUUUCCUUUGGCCUCAGGUUCCAGUAUGGCGUGGCUCAGCCUCACACACAUUUACAACGUGGUGUUGCUUCUUCCUCUAGAGAAUGUUUGUGCUGUGAGGUAGAGGGUCUUGUCACUGGGUAAGGGGAUUCCCUUACACUGUGGGAAGAGGACCUUUCUGCAGUCCUUCAGCAGCCUCUUCCAAGACAGUGGGGAGGCAAGUGGCCUUGGGCAGGGGGUCUUCCCUAUGCUUCAGGGGCAGUGACACAGGAAGUACUAAAGAUCCAGGGCACUCCCGGAAGCUGGCCAGCUGUUUCUAAGACAAUAGGGACAGGCCCGGAGCUCACGGUUUAUGUUAAAAUCAUCUCCCCUUUUGUUUUUAGUAUUAAUAGUGAGUCUUAGAUAUUGAGAACUUUUAAGUUGAAUCAUAUGGAAUUGCCAAUAUUCAACUUUUUUUUUUUUACUUCAAAUACAUAUGGUUUAAUCUAAUAUAUGCCAAGAAUGGUAAACUGAAUAAUGGACCCCAAAGAUGUCCAUAUCCUAAUUCCUGGAACUUAUGAAUGUUACCUUAUAUGGCAAAA